This 1201-nucleotide long non-coding RNA is filed under the name Prunus persica (peach). Its description in RNAcentral is "long non-coding RNA (PPER_LNC003776)". The record is from RNAcentral. Lineage: Eukaryota; Viridiplantae; Streptophyta; Magnoliopsida; Rosales; Rosaceae.
UUGGCACUGCUGCCAAUUCCAAUGUGAAUGAGGCCACCCAACACAUCCACACAAGCUCCCAACUUGAGAGUGUCGAUGGGACACGUGUUCUUUGGUGGUGAUGGGGUUGGCACUGGUGUUGGUGGUGGUGGAGGAGGACAUGGUGUCUCAGUGGGUGGAGGAGGCUUAACUGGUACAACUGGGGUAGGUGUAGGUGUUGGUGGGCUUGGUGGUACAACAGGUGGUGAUGGUGGUGGCUUAACUGGUACAACUGGGGUAGGUGUUGGUGUUGGUGGGCUUGGUGGUACAACAGGUGGUGAUGGUGGUGGCUUAACUGGUACAACUGGGGGCUUGGGUACAUAGGGUGGUGGGGGUUGUACAACUGGGGGCUUGGGUACAUAUGGUGGUGGUGGUUGUACAACUGGGGGUUUGGGGAUGAAGGGUGGGUGCACAAUUGGGGGUUUAGGGAUAAAAGGUGGGUGCACGAUUGGGGGCUUGGGGAUGAAGGGUGGGUGCACAAUUGGGGGCUUGGGGAUGAAGGGUGGGUGCACAAUUGGGGGUUUAGGGAUGAAGGGUGGGUGCACAAUUGGGGGUUUAGGGAUGAAGGGUGGGUGCACAAUUGGGGGUUUAGGGAUGAAGGGUGGGUGCACAAUUGGGGGCUUGGGGAUGAAGGGUGGGUGCACAAUUGGGGGCUUGGGGUGGGGUGGUGGUUUGACAAUAGGAGGCUUGGGGAUGAAGGGAGGUCUCACAAUAGGUGGUUUGGGGACAGAAGGAGGUUUUGGUAUAUGGGGAGGAUAUACAAUGGGGGGUUUGGGGCCAUGAGGUGGCUUGGGUACAUGGGGUGGAUGAGGAUGAGGUGGCUUUGAUGGUGGCUUGGGAACAUAGGGAGGCUUUACAUGAGGGGGAUGGGGUGGUUUUGAUGGUGGUUUGGGAACAUAGGGAGGCUUUACAUGAGGAGGAAGAGGUGGUUUUGAUGGUGGUUUGGGAACAGAGGGAGGCUUUACAUGAGGGGGAUGAGGUGGGUGUUUAGGUGGUUUAGGGAUGAAGGGUGGCUUUACAUGAGGAGGCUGUUUGGGUGGCAAGUGUGGAGGGUAUGUUGGUGGUGGACAGUAGGAGUUAGCAAGAGAAGUGAGCAAACUACCCAAAUUCACAAUGAGGACUAAGAGCAAAGCCAGGGUAUAAUUCCCCAUGUUCAAAACUCCACAACCCUCAAAAGAGUUGG